This 145-nucleotide unclassified non-coding RNA is filed under the name soil metagenome. Its description in RNAcentral is "partial internal transcribed spacer 1". The record is from RNAcentral.
UAAUAAGUGUUUUAUGGCACUUUUUAAAUCCAUAUCCACCUUGUGUGCAAUGUCAGUCGAUCUUCUCCAUGGAGAUUGACCAAACAUCAACCUUUAUUUUUUAACCCUUUGUCUGAAAAAUAUUAUGAAUAAACAAUUCAAAAUA